Molecule: ribosomal RNA, 253 nt
Filed under: uncultured bacterium
Lineage: Bacteria
Description: partial 16S ribosomal RNA
Rfam family: Bacterial small subunit ribosomal RNA
Source: RNAcentral
UACAGAGGGUGCAAGCGUUAAUCGGAAUUACUGGGCGUAAAGCGUGCGUAGACGGUUAUGUAAGUCAGGUGUGAAAGCCCCGGGCUCAACCUGGGAAUUGCAUUUGAGACUGCAUAGCUAGGGUGCGGAAGAGGGAAGCGGAAUUUCCGGUGUAGCGGUGAAAUGCGUAGAUAUCGGAAGGAACACUAGUGGCGAAAGCGGCUUCCUGGUCCAGCACCGACGUUCAGGCACGAAAGCGUGGGGAGCAAACAGG